ACAUUAUGAAUAUAGUAUUAUAUGUAUUUGGCAGAAAAAGUGAACAUAGCCGCAUAUGGAAUAGUGUGGGUCCGCCAGAAUUUAUGGGUCCUUUUCCUUUGUGUUGGUGCCAAACUUGUGAAAUGAAAAUGGAGUUGUAGCUGGUCACGUCUUAUGGACAACUAAUUAAUAAUAAAGUUAAGCUAAUAAAAUCAUGGAAGCACUGCUUUAACAGCAAAUUAGGUGAAAGAAAGCAACCAAAAACUAGGUAGCCCUCGAUGAAUCACGUUCUGGUUUUCUUGUUUUUUCUUUCUUCAUUCUGCUCCCUUCAAGUCUUCUCUAGCAAACCAAAUUAUUAUUGCUCUUCUUAAAAGCCUAAAUUGUGAUCAAGUCGUUGUGGCUUUUUACCUUUAUCCCUUUGAACAUGUCACUUUAUCAAUCAAAGAGUGUUUGAAUGAAUAUGGUGGUGACAAAGGAAACAUAGCAAAUUGGUUUUCCUCACCUUGUUUAAAGAAAGAGACAUCACGCUUAAUUGUGUAACAAGACAUGGACUUUUUCACUAGUGACAUUGUAAGUAGCUUGUUAUUUCACCAGAAGCACAAGAGCUUAAUUUGAACAGCAUAUCUACAUGCUAAUUUAAUCAGUGUUUGAUAUUUGGUCAUGGUGGAUAUAUAUUGUAGAAUUUUCUGACCUCAAAGGCCACCAAGUCCAUCCCACCCAGAAACUCAGCAAAAUUGAAACAUGAUUGUGACAUGCACAACUAUGAUAUCAUAACUUUUAUAUAAGUGAAGCAUGGUGGGUGAUUUUUUGGGAGUUUGAUAGGGGUAUCUAUAUUUGGAAUGUGAGUUUUAGGAUUCUGUGAGGAAGCAUCCAUUGGGGAAUGACU
This 865-nucleotide long non-coding RNA is filed under the name Phaseolus vulgaris (common bean). RNAcentral's name for it is "long non-coding RNA (PVUL_LNC003959)". Lineage: Eukaryota; Viridiplantae; Streptophyta; Magnoliopsida; Fabales; Fabaceae. The record is from RNAcentral.